Molecule: unclassified non-coding RNA, 1754 nt
Filed under: Nilaparvata lugens (brown planthopper)
Lineage: Eukaryota; Metazoa; Arthropoda; Insecta; Hemiptera; Delphacidae
Description: sodium channel protein Nach-like, transcript variant X2
Source: RNAcentral
UACAGCAUUAAAUUCAUUUACAUUUAAAAUUCAUAUUUUUAUAAUAUUAUUUAUAUGUUUUUAGAUGCAGGAAUUCAGUAGACACACAUCUAUACCGUGGUUCAAAUGCUUUUUUGAUCCCAGAUUCUCCUAUAUUGAAAGGAUACUUAUCUCUGCAAUAUUGACAAUCGCUUUUGUCUACGCAUCUUCAUUGGUGUAUGCAGUCUGCAAUAAUGUAUUGAGUUAUCCACUAGUAACAAACAUAGAAUCGUUGCAGUAUCCAGCAUGGGAACAACCUUUUCCAACUAUUUUCAUUUGUCCUCUGAAUAGAAUCAGUAAAGAUGGUAUUACUAAACAGGUGGACAAAUGGAUCCUUCCCAAGAAUAUAAGCAAAAGAGAAAUGAUGUUGAAAUUGAGGUCAAUACCUAAUGGGGCUUAUAGAAUGACUAAAAUUGACUACCCUGAAAUCAUUGAAGAGACAAUGGCAAUGAAUAAUGUAUCUAUGAGAAGACUUUUCGAAGAGAUCACUCUACCUUGUGAAGAAAUGAUUGGUCUCUGCAAAUGGAAAUCAAAGGACAUUGAUUGCAGAGACCUUUUUGAAAGAGUUAUACAACAAGAUGGUCAUUGCUGUGCUUUCAAUUACAUUCAUCCAAAGCAAGAGGUCAAAAAAAGGAACAUUAAGAACAUGGAAAAAAUGUCUGGUUCAGGCUUUGCUACUGGUCUUAAAAUGUCAUUGUUCAUUAACUACUCAGAUGCUUUUUCUAGUUUUUCAUCUUCUUUGGGAUAUAUUAUAUAUGCGGGAGAUCCAGGUAGUUAUACAGAUGGUAGGUCUCUAGGCAGAAUUCUUCGACGGAGAUCAGCUAAUUUUUUCAGUUUCACAUCCACCAGAAUAGAACGAUCUGAAAAUAUAAUGCGACUUCCAGUAGAAUAUAGAGCCUGUUCAGGGCCAGAACAUCAAUUAUCUGCAUUCAGAAAAUACACCAUGUCAAAUUGCAAGACAGAGUGCAUCAUGAGGCUAUGUUUGAAAAAUUGUCAAUGUUUGCCUAUAAUAUAUCCAAAAUAUUCAGAUGAUCAACGAUAUUGUGAAUUCUCAGAUUUUAGAUGUUUGAGUACCCUUCGAGGUGCUAUUAACUACAUUUCUUCAGGCACAAAUCUGACUCUGUACACAGAUAACAAGCUUGAAAUAGAGAAUGCACGGCCCUGCGGCUGUCACCCAUCAUGCAGCAUUCAUCACUCGUUCGACGUAGCUGUUUCUUCCAGUCCCAUAAACAUGGACAUCUUGGCUAAGGACUUGAAAACCAACAUUAGCCUGGACAUAGCUAAAGAGAAGUAUAAGACAAUGGAAUAUUUCUGUGAUGUAUAUGUAUAUAGUCAAGGAAACAUGUUAACGAAAAUAAUCACAGAUAUCAAGUAUGAUGUUACUGAGCUAUUGGGCUUUAUCGGUACAAUAGCAUCAUUCACUAUGGGAUGGAGCAUAAUUUGUUUGAUAGAAAUAGUACAUUUUCUAAUACAACUGGCAUUGAAGUACUUUAUCAUCAAAAUAGAGAACGCAAGAGAAGUGGAAACAAUUGCAGUACAAUAACUCGCUUAGAAAAAACUGUAAGGCAAUAUGCAGAACCUUUCUGCUAGUUAUUAAAGAAGAUUCAACUCUCUUGUAUUACGUUGUGAUUGGACACUCUAUGAAAUACUAUAUGGAUAGAUUUGAGUUCCUUUUGGUGUGGUACACUCCUUUACACAAUUAAUUAAUCCGUAGAAUUAUAGAACACGGUUUGAUU